RNAcentral lists this transfer RNA (61 nucleotides) under Longipodacrangonyx sp. 1 MDMBR-2012. Its description in RNAcentral is "transfer RNA Leucine". The record is from RNAcentral. Lineage: Eukaryota; Metazoa; Arthropoda; Malacostraca; Amphipoda; Metacrangonyctidae.
CUUAAGAUGGCAGAAUUAGUGUGAUAGCUUUAAAAUCUAUGUAUGGGUAUUCCUCUUAAGA